RNAcentral lists this ribosomal RNA (253 nucleotides) under uncultured bacterium. RNAcentral's name for it is "partial 16S ribosomal RNA". It matches the Rfam family "Bacterial small subunit ribosomal RNA", at positions 524 to 776 of the family's 1533-position model. The record is from RNAcentral.
GACAGAGGUGCCGAGCGUUAGGCGGAAUCACUGGGCUUAAAGCGUGUGUAGGCGGGCGGGCAAGUACCUUGUGAAAUCCCACGGCUCAACCGUGGAACGGCUGGGUAUACUGCCUGUCUUGAGCCAACUAGGGGCGAGCGGAACAGACGGUGGAGCGGUGAAAUGCGUAGAUAUCGUCUGGAACGCCGAAGGUGAAAACAGCUCGCUGGGAUUGUGCUGACGCUGAGACACGAAAGCCAGGGGAGCGAACGGG